This 1437-nucleotide long non-coding RNA is filed under the name Bos indicus x Bos taurus (hybrid cattle). RNAcentral's name for it is "lncRNA (ENSBIXG00005012838.1)". The record is from RNAcentral. Lineage: Eukaryota; Metazoa; Chordata; Mammalia; Artiodactyla; Bovidae.
AUGACUACACUCAAGUUCCUGCUCCUGCUGGUGUCUCCACCUCAGAUCCAUCAACACACGGUUGUUCUGAACUCCUCUUCCUGCUCAUCUGAAAAUCCCCACCCAGCAGUGGACGCUGGCCCCCACCCACCUCCCACUCAUGUCCUUAUCACACUCCAGCACACGGAGACUCACUUCCUCAUCAGACUCCAGCACACGGGGACUCACCUCCUCAUCACACUCCAGCACACGGAGACUCACCUCCUCAUCACACUCCAGCACACGGAGACUCACUCCAGCACACACGGAGACUCACCUCCUCAUCACACUCCAGCACACGGAGACUCACUUCCUCAUCAGACUCCAGCACACGGAGACUCACCUCCUCAUCACACUCCAGCACACGGAGACUCACCUCCUCAUCACACUCCAGCACACGGAGACUCACUCCAGCACACACGGAGACUCACCUCCUCAUCACACUCCAGCACACGGAGACUCACUUCCUCAUCAGACUCCAGCACACGGAGACUCACCUCCUCAUCAUACUCCAGCACACGAAGACUCACUCCAGCACACACGGAGACUCACCGCCUCAUCACACGCCAGCACACGGAGACUCACUUGCUCAUCACACUCCAGCACACAGAGACUCACCUCCUCAUCACACGCCAGCACACAGAGACUCACUUCCACCUCACACUCCAGCACACGGAGACUCACUUCCACCUCACACUCCAGCACACGGGGACUCACCUCCUCAUCACACUCCAGCACACGGAGACUCACUGCCUCAUCACACACCAGCACACGGGGACUCACCUCCUCAUCAUACUCCAGCACACGAAGACUCACUCCAGCACACACGGAGACUCACCGCCUCAUCACACUCCAGCACACGGAGACUCACUGCCUCAUCACACGCCAGCACACGGAGACUCACUUCCACCUCACACGCCAGCACACGGGGACUCACCGCCUCAUCACACGCCGGCACGCGGACACUCACCGCCUCAUCACACGCCGGCACGCGGACACUCACCGCCUCAUCACACUCCAGCACACGGAGACUCACUUCCAUCUCACACGCCAGCACACGGGGACUCACCUCCUCAUCACACUCCAGCACACGGAGACUCACUCCAGCACACACGGAGACUCACCACCUCAUCACACUCCAGCACACGGAGACUCACUGCCUCAUCACAGGCCAGCACACGGAGACUCACUGCCUCAUCACACGCCAGCACACGGAGACUCACUUCCACCUCACACGCCAGCACACAGGGACUCACCGCCUCAUCACACUCCAGCACGCGGAGACUCACCGCCUCAUCACACGCCGGCACGCGGACACUCACCGCCUCAUCACACGCCGGCGCGCGGAGAGUGGCUUCAGGACUGAACCCUGUGGAAACAGCCGUGCUCAGGCGCGGUCCUGUCUUUACUUUGUCUUAG